Molecule: long non-coding RNA, 296 nt
Filed under: Linum usitatissimum (flax)
Lineage: Eukaryota; Viridiplantae; Streptophyta; Magnoliopsida; Malpighiales; Linaceae
Description: long non-coding RNA (LUSI_LNC001234)
Source: RNAcentral
AAGAUUGCAGGUUUGGGAAUUGUAUAACAGAAAUUGCAGAACCUGAGUUGCCAGCUUGUUGAGCGGGAGGAAAAAGGGUCCUUAUCCGCUUUGUUAGAACGACGUCGCGUUGAGCAAGCAACGUUUCUCCUCGUUGCAGCAAGUUAAUGAAACGGUGCGCAUCAUUUUGGAGGAAAAGUGAAAAUGGAGAUGAAAAGUUCCCUUUUCCUAAUACCCGCCCACAAGUUGGAGGGCAGAGAUUAUACAUUCCGAGCUUGGAGAGAAAAAAUCGGAAGGGGACUGGUCGUAGAGCCUUG